Molecule: ribosomal RNA, 468 nt
Filed under: uncultured bacterium
Lineage: Bacteria
Description: partial 16S ribosomal RNA
Rfam family: Bacterial small subunit ribosomal RNA
Source: RNAcentral
GACGAACGCUGGCGGCGUGCUUAACACAUGCAAGUCGAACGGAAAGGCCCUGCUUUUGUGGGGUGCUCGAGCGGCGAACGGGUGAGUAACACGUGAGUAACCUGCCCUUGACUUUGGGAUAACUUCAGGAAACUGGGGCUAAUACCGGAUAGGAGCUCCUGCUGCAUGGUGGGGGUUGGAAAGUUUCGGCGGUUGGGGAUGGACUCGCGGCUUAUCAGCUUGUUGGUGGGGUAGUGGCUUACCAAGGCUUUGACGGGUAGCCGGCCUGAGAGGGUGACCGGCCACAUUGGGACUGAGAUACGGCCCAGACUGCUACGGGAGGCAGCAGUGGGGAAUAUUGCACAAUGGGCGGAAGCCUGAUGCAGCAACGCCGCGUGCGGGAUGACGGCCUUCGGGUUGUAAACCGCUUUCGCCUGUGACGAAGCGUGAGUGACGGUAAUGGGUAAAGAAGCACCGGCUAACUACGUG